RNAcentral lists this non-coding RNA (143 nucleotides) under Calothrix sp. Lineage: Bacteria; Bacillati; Cyanobacteriota; Cyanophyceae; Nostocales; Calotrichaceae. The record is from RNAcentral. RNAcentral also lists the same sequence under 1 other name.
UAUAUUUGAGAUUAACUCGGUUCUAGUGGGAAACAGCCACUAGAGGAAACGGGGAAAGUCCGGUGUGAAUCCGGCGCUGUCCCGCAGCUGUAAUCAAGCCUUGCCUUGUGAGUCAGAAUGCCCGCCGAAGUUAACUUGUAAAU